GGGUCGCCUGGGACGGGAGGAGCGGACCAAAGGAGACCAGGGAGGCGUCGCCAGGAUUCGCCCCUCCGGACCGGCCUUCCGCCGGCUGAAGAAGAGCCUUUGGAUCAGGGACUGCAGGUGGAGAUUCCUGCAUUGUGUGGGUUGGACUAGAUGAUCCUUGGGUCCCCUUACAACUCUGUAAUUGUAUGACAUGUUUAUGUGUAUGUAUGAAAUAUAGGAAUAUAUGAAAUAUUCUUUCAAUACAGUAUUUACUUGCAUUUGUUCUCUCGUUUUCCUUAUUUUUAUUUGUAAACUGCACUGAGUCCCCAUCAGGGGAAAAAUAACAAAUAAAUAAUCCUAGCAGUCUGUAACCCGACCCCGAAGGAAAAGGGAAAAAAGUGAGCAGCAUGUUUUCCUGCUUUUUUAAACUCAUAUCUUAUUUCAUGGGGGGGGUAUACAACAUUUCAAAACUGAAACACUCAAAAAGUGUGGCAGGUCUGCGGGCGUGAGAAUGGUGUCUGCAGGGGGCAGUUUCAGCAGAUUGAGCUCUGCUACUGAGAAUUUUUUUUGUAUGGGGACAGGGUGGAUGGAAUGUUAGAAAAAUGUUGGAAUGAAAUUACUUGGCUUUAGUAAAAAUGUUUAAAGAAUUAUGUAAGAAUAUUAUGGUUAUGAGAAGUUGGUAAAAAUAAGAUUUAAGUUUUAAGUUUCAAGGUUUUUAUAGUAAGAUAAGAUUAAAAUAGUUUAAGGUAAUGUAAUGACAGAAUUUUAUGAAAUAUGGAAAGGAUUUGGUGCAACAAUUAACAACUAGGAUACAAAAAAAAGGGAGGAGGAGGUCAAAGAAAGAAGGUAAUGACAGUUGAGGAUUUGAGAAUAAUGGAUUUGUUUUUAAAAGUUUGUGGUGUAUUUUUGUUUUUUUUUGAAUUUGUUUUUUUUUUGUAUUGUUGGAUGUGGUUUGUGUUUUUCUUUGUUCUUUCUUUGUUCUUUUUCUACUUUGUUUUCUUUUGUAACUAAAAAAAAAAAUUCCAAUAAAUA
Podarcis lilfordi (Lilford's wall lizard) is the source of this 1011-nucleotide non-coding RNA. The record is from the annotation of a GenBank genome assembly. NCBI's taxonomy places the organism in Eukaryota, Metazoa, Chordata, Lepidosauria, Squamata, Lacertidae.